GAGGAAUAUUGGUCAAUGGGCGAGAGCCUGAACCAGCCAAGUCGCGUGAAGGAAGACGGCCUUAUGGGUUGUAAACUUCUUUUGCAGGGGAAUAAAAAGUAGGACGCGUCCUAUAUUGCAUGUACCCUGCGAAUAAGCAUCGGCUAACUCCGUGCCAGCAGCCGCGGUAAUACGGAGGAUGCGAGCGUUAUCCGGAUUUAUUGGGUUUAAAGGGUGCGCAGGCGGGCUUUUAAGUCAGCGGUGAAAUCUGGUCGCUUAACGAUCAAACUGCCGUUGAAACUGGGAGUCUUGAGUAUAGAUGAAGUAGGCGGAAUUCGUUGUGUAGCGGUGACAUGCUUAGAUAUAACGAGGAACUCCGAUUGCGUAGGCAGCUUACUAAACUAUAACUGACGCUCAAGCACGAAAGCGUGGGGAUCAAAC
This 420-nucleotide ribosomal RNA is filed under the name uncultured bacterium. Its description in RNAcentral is "bacterial SSU rRNA". It matches the Rfam family "Bacterial small subunit ribosomal RNA", at positions 356 to 773 of the family's 1533-position model. The record is from RNAcentral.